CACGAAAGUCUCCACCAGCACCGCGACGGGCGUGGCCUCCACACGCGCCGUCACCGCCCCUCCAGAUUUGGUCGUCGUCAAGGGCGUAUCCAUCCAACAGCGUCACCUCCCCUCCAGAUCCGACCGUUGUCAAGGCUGUAUCCAUCCAGCAGUGCGCCGUCAUCCCAAUCAUCACCGUCCACGGCGUCAUCGCCCAGGCCUAGUCUGGGGCCGGCAAGACGUCCAUGAUCUCCCUCUUUGUCUGCCAGGUUAUCGAGACCAACGUCCACGAGGUGUAGGCAUUAGCGACGACAUGGACAGGGGCUUCACUGACAGGAAGAACUUGCUCAUGGACCGCAGGACCAUGGCUCCCAAGAUCGACGACCUCAGUUUCUUACUCGAGGUACCGACCCUGAGGUCCUUCUUGGUGCCACAUGUGAUUUGUGGGCUGCACUUUUGAAUUUGGUAUGAUGAACUGGACUUUGUAAAUGAGCACAUACAUACACUGAACUCCAGAUAAAUGGCAGCUGAAUUUCAAGUACAGGGGACUCUUCUGCCCGAUCACAGUUUUCACACAUUAAUAACUAUAUGGCUCCAUCAGCAUGAAUUCAUUUUUCGGGGGAAAAUUUAAGUGCACAUAGCUGCAAAGAUGUGAAGACCCAUAUCGGUCUUGUUUGAUAUUCUUUGAGUUGGUUUAGAUAGAGAUAAGUGACCUCUUUCAUGUCAAGUGCAUGCGCCAUUUACUA
Molecule: long non-coding RNA, 725 nt
Organism: Triticum aestivum (bread wheat)
Lineage: Eukaryota; Viridiplantae; Streptophyta; Magnoliopsida; Poales; Poaceae
Exons: 3
Source: RefSeq, a predicted model, not a curated record